RNAcentral lists this ribosomal RNA (468 nucleotides) under uncultured bacterium. Its description in RNAcentral is "partial 16S ribosomal RNA". It matches the Rfam family "Bacterial small subunit ribosomal RNA", at positions 28 to 507 of the family's 1533-position model. The record is from RNAcentral.
GACGAACGCUGGCGGCGUGCUUAACACAUGCAAGUCGAACGGAAAGGCCCUGCUUUUGUGGGGUGCUCGAGUGGCGAACGGGUGAGUAACACGUGAGUAACCUUCCCUUUACUUUGGGAUAACUUCAGGAAACUGGGGCUAAUACCGGAUAGGAGCUCCUGCUGCAUGGUGGGGGUUGGAAAGUUUCGGCGUUUGGGGAUGGACUCGCGGCUUAUCAGCUUGUUGGUGGGGUAGUGGCUUACCAAGGCUUUGACGGGUAGCCGGCCUGAGAGGGUGACCGGCCACAUUGGGACUGAGAUACGGCCCAGACUCCUAUGGGAGGCAGCAGUGGGGAAUAUUGCACAAUGGGCGGAAGCCUGAUGCAGCAACGCCGCGUGCGGGAUGACGGCCUUCGGGUUGUAAACCGCUUUCGCCUGUGACGAAGCGUGAGUGACGGUAAUGGGUAAAGAAGCACCGGCUAACUACGUG